UUUAUGGAGAGUUUGAUCCUGGCUCAGGAUGAACGCUGGCGGCGUGCCUAAUACAUGCAAGUCGAGCGAACGGACGAGAAGCUUGCUUCUCUGAUGUUAGCGGCGGACGGGUGAGUAACACGUGGAUAACCUACCUAUAAGACUGGGAUAACUUCGGGAAACCGGAGCUAAUACCGGAUAAUAUUUUGAACCGCAUGGUUCAAAA
RNAcentral lists this ribosomal RNA (205 nucleotides) under Staphylococcus aureus. Its description in RNAcentral is "partial 16S ribosomal RNA". It matches the Rfam family "Bacterial small subunit ribosomal RNA", at positions 1 to 200 of the family's 1533-position model. The record is from RNAcentral. Lineage: Bacteria; Bacillati; Bacillota; Bacilli; Caryophanales; Staphylococcaceae.